Molecule: non-coding RNA, 2916 nt
Organism: Macaca mulatta (Rhesus monkey)
Lineage: Eukaryota; Metazoa; Chordata; Mammalia; Primates; Cercopithecidae
Source: RefSeq, a predicted model, not a curated record
UAGGAGGUCUGGGAUGGGGGCCAAGAAUGUGCAUCUCUAACAAGUUCCAACAUGAUGCGGAUGCUGCUAGUCCAGGGACCACACAAUGAGAAUUAUUCAUCUAGACCAGAGAGACACUGAAAGCCUGCCCAGGCUUGCCUGCUAAACUCACCACUUCCGUGUCCCUAAACUCAGGUCACAUGGACCUAAACACCCUGGGUUGUUUCGCACCUCAGAGCCUUUGCCAUUUGCUGUGCCUGCCUCUCUGGAAGCUCUUUCCUUCUUUAUCUCCUAGGCCUGCUAAACCAUCAUUUCCUCCUGGGAGCAUCUCUGUACUCGCGCAUCCUCACCACACUGACUUCUUCCUCUGGGCCCUGACACCUUGCCCCCUGCCUCCAUCACAGCAGGUGGCUGCGCUGGAGCGGCAGAUCUUUGACUUCCUGGGCUACCAGUGGGCUCCCAUCCUAGCCAACUUCCUGCACAUCAUGGCAGUCAUCCUGGGCAUCUUUGGCACCGUGCAGUACCGAUCCCGGUACCUCAUCCUGUAUGCAGCCUGGCUGGUGCUCUGGGUUGGCUGGAAUGCGUUUAUCAUCUGCUUCUACUUGGAGGUUGGACAGCUGUCCCAGGCUCCUUUGCCCCCAGGACCGGGACUUCAUCAUGACCUUCAACACAUCCCUGCACCGCUCCUGGUGGAUGGAGAAUGGACCAGGCUGCCUGGUGACACCUGUUCUGAACUCCCGCCUGGCUCUGGAGGACCACCAUGUCAUCUCUGUCACUGGCUGCUUGCUUGACUAUCCCUACAUUGAAGCCCUCAGCAGCGCCCUGCAGAUCUUCCUGGCACUGUUCGGCUUCGUGUUCGCCUGCUACGUGAGCAAAGUGUUCCUGGAGGAGGAGGACAGCUUUGACUUCAUCGGCGGCUUUGACUCCUACGGAUACCAGGCGCCCCAGAAGACGUCGCAUUUACAGCUGCAGCCUCUGUACACGUCGGGGUAGCCUCUGCCCCGCGCCCACCUCGGCGCCUCGCCUUGGGCCCCUGGACUGACCGCAGCUGCCUUGGGCUCAGGCCAAGGCGCAGGCGCGCCCCCUGGUGGCCCGCGCGCUCACUGCAGCCUGCGCCCGCCCCCGGGUCUGCAGCCGGAGACGCGGAUUUGGACUUGGACUUGGACUUGGCCUUGGCUCUUCGCAGCCCGGACUUCGGAGGAGUGGGGCGGGGCGGGGGAGGGGCACCGCGGGUUUUUUGUUUGUUUAUUUGUUUUUAAUCUCAGCCUUGGCGUGAGCUGGGGCCUUCCUCUCUUCUCCAGCCUCUCUUUCACCCUUCACCCAGCAUCCUGCCCCCCUGUCCAAAAACAGCAGGACAUCACACCCAUCCCAUCCCACCACACUCACUCACCAGCUCUGGGGAAAGCUAUUCUGAACUAGGAGCAGGAGUCCUGGGUUCUAAUCGCAGGUCCAACACUGACUGUGAUGUCUGGCUAAGCCCUUGCCCUCUCUGGGCCUCGGUUUCCCCUCCUCAAGUGAUUAAUUCCUUAGCAAAUGGACUCUUUUAGACUUCUCAUUUAACUCAAUUCCCUGAGCUAGACUGGGAUUAAAAUUCCCAUUUUGCAGUACAUUAAAACUGAGGCCCAGAGAUGCAAUUUGCUUGAGGCCACACAGCUAGAUUUUUGGUGGAAGUGGGCCUUGAACACAGUGUACUUUCUGCAGUUUCUGACUGUAAAACCCACGUCUGCUCUCUGAGUUCAAUUUCAAGCCCCCCUCCAGCUUGGACCCAUGUGGUCUCCACCAUAUUCACACACCACCGCCACCACUUGCCAAUGCCUCUCUUAAAGCAAUAUACCCAUUCGUUCUCUUAUUGGGAACGGGAUGGACAGAGCCCUAAAUUCAGCCCCACCCACAGAGAAGCCUUCCUACGCUCAGCCUCUGUCCACCCUUGGCAAAUCUUUCAAGCUCUCUCCUCCAGGAAAGUGGGGCCCCAACUCAGUCACCCCACCCCCUUCCAGGUCCCUGAGGCUGGUUCUACUGUAUCCCCAUCCCCUCCACAACUCCACUCACCCCUGAUGGCUCCAUCCACCUCACCAGUUGGAAGGCUUGUGGUUCCAGAGGGGAGCAAUGCUGGUCAGCGCUGCCCAGACUCCAGUGUUUACAGAUCACCAGCGUUUACAACCAAUUCAAUGGCCAGAAGCCUCCUCUAACAAGCCCACAAGGAGUUCUGAAGGGGCAGAUGGGGGUGUGAGUAGUGGGGGAGUCAGGAUUGCCAGCACCCUCACCCUUCCUUGGGGGCAAGUAGAGGCGAGAACACUUUCCCCACCUCCCUCCACAGACACUCCUGAGGACCCUGCAUCCCACACACUGCCUGGUGUGUCCAUAGAUGAGAGGAUCAGGCCUCAGCAUUUCAUCUGUGAAAGAGGUGUGGCCCUGGGUUAGAAAGGAGGGCAGGAGGCAUGGAGGAACUGGGGGGACACCCAGAUGGUGCGUAUGGUUUGCACACCUGAGCCUGUCUGGUGACCACUUCGCUCCUCGCCCACUACCCUCCAAUCUAUCAUUCCCUACUCUCUACGGCCAAAAUAUCCUGAGCAAGGCUGACAACCCCACCCCACCAUCCCAACUGCAAGCAGCCAGCCCCAGGAGUUCCUCUGGCCCCCACAGGCAUGGAGCUCCUAGCUGCUGGGUACAGCUCAAGAGGGGGGCAGCUCCCUCAGGCUAAGCUGCUGCCGUUCACUGGGCCAGCCCUGCUUCCAGCCCCCACUUCUCUCAACCCCACUCUCCCAGGCCCCUUUCUACUCAACGGGUGCAGCCACUGGUGCUUUGAAGCCUUUUGUUUUUAUAAGAUGGUUUUUGCAAGGGGACCAGGUUCUCUUUUCACUGGGACCUUGCAAGGAGGGGAGUGCUCUCCUGGUUUCUGUGCAGGUGGGUUGAUUAAAGAUGGUGUUUUCUUCUCUA